This 1319-nucleotide long non-coding RNA is filed under the name Daucus carota (carrot). RNAcentral's name for it is "long non-coding RNA (DCAR_LNC003816)". Lineage: Eukaryota; Viridiplantae; Streptophyta; Magnoliopsida; Apiales; Apiaceae. The record is from RNAcentral.
AAUAUACCGGCCCAACUGCAACAACUUGGGUAAUCCACAAGCCCACCACAGGCCCCCAAAAGAUCAUGAUUUGUUGGUGCAAUUGGUAGUAGUACUUAUGCUUAUAAACUGAACUAAAGUCUCCACACGACUCGAUGUGGGACUGGGGUGUUACAAACUCCCCCACUUAAAUUCCUGACGUCCUCGUCAGGCCGAAACGGAUAGCCCAUAGGCCCAGAUCGAACCUCCCUAGCCAUUGUGGGAUAAUACCGGCUGGCUUCGUGUCCCCGCCUCCGGAUCUCUGUCCAUUGCGGGAUAAUACCACCAGCCUUCGUGUCCCCACCUCCGGCAACUUGACGAAUCAAGCUUUCGAGAGCCUGGCUCUGAUACCAUAUGAAACAACCCGGGUCAAAUCCCGAGUCUUUUCCGAAAAUCGGGUCAAGUCCCGAUUUCCGAAUCCGAAAAUAAGCCGAAAUAAACUGGCCCAAUUGCAACAACUUAGGUAAUCCUGGGCCUAUGGGCUAUCCGUUUCGGCCUGACGAGGACGUCAGGAAUUUAAGUGGGAGAGUUUGUAACACCCCAGUCCCACAUCGAGAAGUGUGGAGACUUUAGUUCAGUUUAUAAGCAUAAGUACUACUACCAAUUGCACCAACAAAUCAUGAUCUUUUGGGGGCCUGUGGUGGGCUUGUGGAUUACCCAAGUUGUUGCAGUUGGGCCAGUAUAUUUGGGCUAAUUUUCGGAGAAAUCCGAAUCCGAAAAUAAGCCUAAAUAUACUGACCCAACUGCUAACAACUUGGGUAAUCCACAAGCCCACCACAGGCCCCCUAAAAGAUCAUGAUUUGUUGGUGCAAUUAGUAGUAGUACUUAUGCUUAUAAACUGAACUAAAGUCCCCACACUUCUUGAUGUGGGACAAGGGUGUUACAAACUCUCCCACUUAAAUUCCUGACGUCCUCGUCAGGCCGAAACGGAUAGCCCAUAGGCCCAGAUCGAACCUCCCUAGCCAUUGUGGGAUAAUACCGGCUGGCUUCGUGUCCCCGCCUCCGGAUCUCUGUCCAUUGCGGGAUAAUACCACCAGCCUUCGUGUCCCCACCUCCGGCAACUUGACGAAUCAAGCUUUCGAGAACCUCGCUCUGAUACCAUAUGUGACAACCCGGGUCAAAUCCAGAGCCUUUUUCGAAAAUCGGGUCAAGUCCCGAAAUCCGAAUCCGAAAAUAAGCCUAAAUAUACUGGCCCAACUGCAACAACUUGGGUAAUCCACAAGCCCACCACAGGCCCCCAAAAGAUCAUGAUUUGUUGGUGCAAUUGGUAGUAGUACUUAUGCUUAUAAACUGAACUAAAG